Molecule: non-coding RNA, 30 nt
Filed under: Homo sapiens (human)
Lineage: Eukaryota; Metazoa; Chordata; Mammalia; Primates; Hominidae
Source: RNAcentral
UACACGGACCUGGAUUCAGAACUUAAGAUC